AUCAUUUAAAUUUUUGACACAAAAAUCAGCUGACUGAACUUUUUUGUUUUAUAUUCUAGACGGUAUUAUAACACUGACCAAAAAAGCAGGAAUUUUGUUACAUGUUUCUUUAGGACUUAGGACGGUUGACAAUCUAAAGGGUUACGGUGGAUGUAAUAAUACUUCGGACUUAGAUGAUCACAGAUAUGCAGAAGACGACUAGACGAAAUUAAGAACACAAUUUGACACAUUAUAGACUAUAUUUCGACUCGACGUAUAGGGUUUGACUGAUUUCAUUACAACAUCGAAUGGAAGCUCAAAAAGUGUUACCUAACACUAAUAUGAGAGUUAUUUGGGGAUGAUGCUGGUGCUGUCAAUGACCAACAUCGGUUAUUGACACUAUUGGUAAUCAGCUUGAAAUAAUUUUCAGAAUGUAUUGUAAAAAACUUAGGUUAUUAUUUGAUUUAUUGUUUAGAGAUGCUAGUUGCCCAUAUCGGCUAAAAACGCUAGCUCUGGCAGCUGUCUCCGAAUAAUUUUCAAAAAUAUCAAACCUGUAAACAUUAGCUAUGACAAAUUUUUUGCUCUUCUUUGUAAUAUUUCUCAGGAAUAGUGCCUUGAAGGCGUUAACAUGUACAGCUUUUUUUCUCUCUGAAUGUUGUCCAGUGAUCUCGGAGAUUUUCGAUUAUUGGAAUAUUGUUCAAUUAUCAUAUCAUCUUUGGAGCUUCCAUUGGGUCAAAACAAUAGUGCGAUGGGAAUAGUUAAAACACAGUAAUUUUAAAAACUACUACGACCCAAUACUAAUUACUACACACUUUGCUCAAGUUGACGACAUCGUCUAGUCCAUCGUGGGUAUUGGUACUAGUAGGGGGAAAGUUGGGAAAGGGUCCAGGCUUUGCUAUCAGCUGUCAUGCAGCUCCACCUGAUCACUCUACAAAAAAAAAGAA
Molecule: long non-coding RNA, 923 nt
Organism: Aedes albopictus (Asian tiger mosquito)
Lineage: Eukaryota; Metazoa; Arthropoda; Insecta; Diptera; Culicidae
Exons: 2
Source: RefSeq, a predicted model, not a curated record